RNAcentral lists this microRNA (23 nucleotides) under Caenorhabditis elegans. Its description in RNAcentral is "cel-miR-124-5p". Its record names the gene cel-miR-124-5p. Lineage: Eukaryota; Metazoa; Nematoda; Chromadorea; Rhabditida; Rhabditidae. The record is from miRBase by way of RNAcentral.
GCAUGCACCCUAGUGACUUUAGU